GACGAACGCUGGCGGCGUGCUUAACACAUGCAAGUCGAGCGGUAAGGCCCUUUCGGGGGGUACACGAGCGGCGAACGGGUGAGUAACACGUGGGUGACCUGCCUUUAGCUCUGGGAUAAGCCUGGGAAACCGGGUCUAAUACCGGAUAUGACUCCGCGGCGCAUGUUGUGGGGUGGAAAGCCUUGUGCGGCUGGAGAUGGGCCCGCGGCCUAUCAGCUUGUUGGUGGGGUGAUGGCCUACCAAGGCGACGACGGGUAGCCGGCCUGAGAGGGCGACCGGCCACACUGGGACUGAGACACGGCCCAGACUCCUACGGGAGGCAGCAGUGGGGGAAUCUUGCGCAAUGGGCGAAAGCCUGACGCAGCGACGCCGCGUGAGGGAUGACGGCCU
RNAcentral lists this ribosomal RNA (390 nucleotides) under uncultured bacterium. RNAcentral's name for it is "bacterial SSU rRNA". It matches the Rfam family "Bacterial small subunit ribosomal RNA", at positions 28 to 417 of the family's 1533-position model. The record is from RNAcentral.